RNAcentral lists this ribosomal RNA (920 nucleotides) under Psychrobacter arcticus. RNAcentral's name for it is "bacterial SSU rRNA". It matches the Rfam family "Bacterial small subunit ribosomal RNA", at positions 291 to 1203 of the family's 1533-position model. The record is from RNAcentral. Lineage: Bacteria; Pseudomonadati; Pseudomonadota; Gammaproteobacteria; Moraxellales; Moraxellaceae.
UCUGAGAGGAUGAUCAGCCACACCGGGACUGAGACACGGCCCGGACUCCUACGGGAGGCAGCAGUGGGGAAUAUUGGACAAUGGGGGAAACCCUGAUCCAGCCAUGCCGCGUGUGUGAAGAAGGCCUUUUGGUUGUAAAGCACUUUAAGCAGUGAAGAAGACUCCAUGGUUAAUACCCAUGGACGAUGACAUUAGCUGCAGAAUAAGCACCGGCUAACUCUGUGCCAGCAGCCGCGGUAAUACAGAGGGUGCAAGCGUUAAUCGGAAUUACUGGGCGUAAAGGGAGCGUAGGUGGCUCGAUAAGUCAGAUGUGAAAUCCCCGGGCUCAACCUGGGAACUGCAUCUGAUACUGUUGAGCUAGAGUAUGUGAGAGGAAGGUAGAAUUCCAGGUGUAGCGGUGAAAUGCGUAGAGAUCUGGAGGAAUACCGAUGGCGAAGGCAGCCUUCUGGCAUAAUACUGACACUGAGGCUCGAAAGCGUGGGUAGCAAACAGGAUUAGAUACCCUGGUAGUCCACGCCGUAAACGAUGUCUACUAGUCGUUGGGUCCCUUGAGGACUUAGUGACGCAGCUAACGCAAUAAGUAGACCGCCUGGGGAGUACGGCCGCAAGGUUAAAACUCAAAUGAAUUGACGGGGGCCCGCACAAGCGGUGGAGCAUGUGGUUUAAUUCGAUGCAACGCGAAGAACCUUACCUGGUCUUGACAUAUCUAGAAUCCUGCAGAGAUGCGGGAGUGCCUUCGGGAAUUAGAAUACAGGUGCUGCAUGGCUGUCGUCAGCUCGUGUCGUGAGAUGUUGGGUUAAGUCCCGCAACGAGCGCAACCCUUGUCCUUAGUUACCAGCGGGUUAAGCCGGGAACUCUAAGGAUACUGCCAGUGACAAACUGGAGGAAGGCGGGGACGACGUCAAGUCAUCAUGGCCCUU